UUACUGCAGGCUGCCUGGUCCCUGUGGUCCGGUCCUGGGGUUGAGCAGAGGUUUGCCCGAAGAACAAUGGAGAACAUUGGAAGAGGAGCAGAGCCACCCCUGACCCAUGGAGGGCAGUGACUUCUGAAAGGAAGUCAUAGCAAGAGGAGAGGCAGAUUAUAAAAUGCCUCUGUAAUUCAGAAGUCCUUCAGCAAGCAGAGGAAAGCAUCCUUCAGAGUUCUACAGACUACUGAGUUUCAGACUCUUUUUGGAUCGGAUGAUAGCAGCUUUACUGAGCCAAUCUUUUUCUGAAGGAAAGUGAAGGGCAAGCUCUCAAACUGUAACUCUGCAGCACUUUCAGGCUUCCAGAUGAUAAUCACUGCCGUCAGGAUUUGGAUAAAGUCUCAAACCCUUGUGGGGCAUCAUUGAUUCAUCCAUUCAGUCAGUCAUUCAGUACAAUUUACUGAGUGUCUACUGAGUGUGUAGCACUCUAUUAAGUGCUUGGGAGAGUGCAAGAAAAGAAGACCCACUUCAACAAUCGGGGUUUCCUGGAAAAGCAGCCAUGUGGUUUGAAUCCAUCUAUAGUAUUUAUCUCUUAAAGGGCAGAUUAAAUGCAUCUAAAAACAA
Molecule: long non-coding RNA, 606 nt
Organism: Ornithorhynchus anatinus (platypus)
Lineage: Eukaryota; Metazoa; Chordata; Mammalia; Monotremata; Ornithorhynchidae
Exons: 2
Source: RefSeq, a predicted model, not a curated record